RNAcentral lists this long non-coding RNA (1214 nucleotides) under Heterocephalus glaber (naked mole-rat). RNAcentral describes it as "lncRNA (ENSHGLG00000048339.1)". Lineage: Eukaryota; Metazoa; Chordata; Mammalia; Rodentia; Bathyergidae. The record is from RNAcentral.
AACGGUUACCUGAAGUCAGGAGAACCACAAAAUGCUUCUCUGAGCAUUGUCUGCUCUGCCCUCUGAAAAGCCCAGAGUGGAAGCCAUUAUUUUGGCCAUUCUUUAGAAAAGCAUUUUCUUUCUACUUUCAAACACCAUCCUUUCUGUCCUAAUCUGAGCCUGGCUCUUUUGCUACUUCUUUAAAAGAUAUGAACAAUUAGUUCACUUCCUUCUUACAACAGCCCUCUCUGUAGCCCAUCUGCUACAGCCCGUCUGUAACACCAUCUGCUAAUGGUGUUAUCUCCCAGCUGAAUGGACCAUAUUCUUCUAAUUCCAACUCUCUGGACUUACUUCUUGGACACACAAGAAACCUGGCAGUUUUCAAGGGUAUAGCAUAUUAUCUUCUAAUCCUGGGAUGAGAAAAUACAGACUGGUAGCAGACAGAAGGAAGUCAUCCUCUCAGGAGCAUCAGGGACCAAGGUGUGGCCUGCAUGGGGUGGCAGGCAAACCCAGCCUACUACAUCUGCAGAGAGAAGCUGGUCAUGGACCACACAUCACCCGACACCAAAAGCUUGCAAGGCUUGUAGCAAAAAGGCCUUCGAAGAACUAGGAAUGGAACACGAAUGGAACAGCAUUGGGCUGAAGGGCUCUUGCAGCUCCUCUUGCCCAAGAUGCCAAUAUGGAUUCCUGAGCUGAAGCUAUCACUACAACUAUAUUAGUCUCCUCUUUCUCACUCACAAAAACUUUUCAGGAGCUUUUUCUCUUGGUUAUCUUCUUGCAUUUCCUAGAACUUGGCUGGAAUUUGGCCUCCUUUGAUGUUUUAGGAAUAGCACAUUGUUGUUCAGGGUAUGCAUGCUUCUGGAGCCUCAAGUAUUACUUCUAUUUUCUGGCAUUUGGUACUCAAAUUAAAUUGUUGGCACCAGUUCCAUAAAGUGUCCCGAGACAUCUUAUUAACCAAAGGCAAAAUCGUGAGCAAGGGAAGGAUGAGUAUUUUACAAUUAGGUUUUAGGCAAGGUUUGAACUGUUCAUUCAUUUGUGGAAGGUGAACUGCAUGUUCAAAAUCUGCAGUUGAUCAAACAUUUGGUUCCAUUAGUUGUUCAGGUCCCUCUAUAACUGGGACCAGUGUUAAAAUAACAUUUUCCUUACCUAAUUCCUCCUCAAAGAAAUUCUCGCUGAGACUGUAACUUGUGCCUGACAUUUUCAAGACUGCCCAGAAGAAAAGACCACAUGCUAAG